Molecule: long non-coding RNA, 503 nt
Filed under: Pan troglodytes (chimpanzee)
Lineage: Eukaryota; Metazoa; Chordata; Mammalia; Primates; Hominidae
Description: lincRNA
Source: RNAcentral
UGGCAAAAAGAGUCCUGUCCCAGCACUGCCAGGGUAAGAUAAAGGCUGGUCAUCUGUGCAUGCGUUCAUCUGAGUGGAACGUGAGUCCCGGGGGCUGCUGCCACCGUGCCGGUCCCUCCUGUCAUCCGAGCCCGUGUCAGAGGACGCGGCGCCUGCAAGGCAAAAGGGUUGCCGCAGGUGUGGCCAGAUCCUCUAGGCAAGAGGUGUGGAUUCAGGUCCUACUAGUCUUACUCCUGAUGAAGCUGGGCAAAUCAGUUGGCUCUGGAGUAAUUAGUAGCCCCUUCCUCACUGACCAUUGCAAGGAAAUACCAGUGAACUUGAGUUUCUCCAAUGAAGGUGAUCACAGUGAUGAAUGACUUGGCUUCUGCACAGCAAAAGACAUGAUCAUCAGAGCGAACAGACAUCCUACAGAAUGGGAGAGCAUUUGUGCAAUCUAUCCAUCUGACAAAAGUCUAAAAUCCAAAGUUUACAAAGAACUUAAACAAAUUUACAAGAAAAAAACA